RNAcentral lists this ribosomal RNA (455 nucleotides) under uncultured bacterium. RNAcentral describes it as "bacterial SSU rRNA". It matches the Rfam family "Bacterial small subunit ribosomal RNA", at positions 56 to 443 of the family's 1533-position model. The record is from RNAcentral.
UGCAAGUCGAGCGGUAAGGCUUUCACAGAUUGUUUAACCAGAUAAGUCUACUUAGGUAGAUACUGUCUGAAGCGAUGUUCACUAGGCUAGUGAAUAAGGUUGAACGAUGUGUGAAAGUACACGAGCGGCGGACGGCUGAGUAACGCGUAGGAACGUACCCCAAACUGAGGGAUAAGCACCAGAAAUGGUGUCUAAUACCGCAUGUGAUCUUCGGAUUAAAGCUUCGGCGGUUUGGGAACGGCCUGCGUAUGAUUAGCUUGUUGGUGAGGUAAAAGCUCACCAAGGCGACGAUCAUUAGCUGGUCUGAGAGGAUGAUCAGCCAGACUGGGACUGAGACACGGCCCAGACUCCUACGGGAGGCAGCAGUAGGGAAUCUUCCACAAUGGGCGAAAGCCUGAUGGAGCAACGCCGCGUGCAGGAUGAAGGCCUUAGGGUUGUAAACUGCUUUUAUAUGU